This 459-nucleotide ribosomal RNA is filed under the name uncultured bacterium. Its description in RNAcentral is "bacterial SSU rRNA". It matches the Rfam family "Bacterial small subunit ribosomal RNA", at positions 917 to 1382 of the family's 1533-position model. The record is from RNAcentral.
GCACCCGCACAAGCGGUGGAGCAUGCUGUUUAAUUCGAAGAUACGCGAAGAACCUUACCUAGGCUUGACAUCCCUGGCAAAGCUAUAGAAAUAUAGUGGAGGCUAUCCAGGUGACAGGUGGUGCAUGGUUGUCGUCAGCUCGUGUCGUGAGAUGUUCGGUUAAGUCCGAUAACGAGCGCAACCCUUAUCAUUAGUUACUAACAUUCAGUUGAGGACUCUAAUGAGACUGCCGGUGAUAAACCGGAGGAAGGUGGGGAUGACGUCAAAUCAUCAUGCCCCUUACGUCUAGGGCUACAGGCGUGCUACAAUGGCUGGUACAAAGAGAAGCAAGACCGUGAGGUGGAGCAAAUCUCCAAAACCAGUCCCAGUUCGGAUUGGAGUCUGCAACUCGACUCCAUGAAGUUGGAAUCGCUAGUAAUCCUGAAUCAGAAUGUCAGGGUGAAUACGUUCCCGGGUGUU